Molecule: ribosomal RNA, 1002 nt
Filed under: Oenococcus oeni
Lineage: Bacteria; Bacillati; Bacillota; Bacilli; Lactobacillales; Lactobacillaceae
Description: bacterial LSU rRNA
Rfam family: Bacterial large subunit ribosomal RNA
Source: RNAcentral
GUGAACGGCGGCCGUAACUAUAACGGUCCUAAGGUAGCGAAAUUCCUUGUCGGGUAAGUUCCGACCCGCAUGAAAGGCGUAAUGAUUUGGGCGCUGUCUCAACAAUAGACUCGGUGAAAUUUAAAUUCCAGUGAAGAUGCUGGGUACCCGCGACAGGACGGAAAGACCCCGUGGAGCUUUACUGUAGCUUGAUAUUGAAUGUUUGUGCUGCAUGUGCAGGAUAGGUAGGAGACUUUGAAGUCGGAACGCUAGUUUCGAUUGAGUCACCCUUGAGAUACUACCCCUGUUGUAUGAACGUUCUAACUCUGAUCAGUUAUCCUGAUCGAAGACAGUGUCUGGCAGGCAGUUUGACUGGGGCGGUCGCCUCCUAAAAGAUAACGGAGGCGCUCAAAGGUUUGCUCAGAAUGGUUGGAAAUCAUUCGUAGCGUGUAAAGGCAUAAGCAAGCUUGACUGUGAGACUGACAAGUCGAGCAGGUACGAAAGUAGGACUUAGUGAUCCGGUGGUUCCGUAUGGAAGGGCCAUCGCUCAACGGACAAAAGCUACCCCGGGGAUAACAGGCUCAUCUCCCCCAAGAGUCCACAUCGACGGGGAGGUUUGGCACCUCGAUGUCGGCUCAUCGCAUCCUGGGGCUGUAGUCGGUCCCAAGGGUUGGGCUGUUCGCCCAUUAAAGCGGUACGCGAGCUGGGUUCAGAACGUCGUGAGACAGUUCGGUCCCUAUCCGUCGUGGGCGCAGGAAAUUUGAGAGGAUCUGUCCUUAGUACGAGAGGACCGGGAUGGACAUACCUCUGGUGUACCAGUUGUUCUGCCAAGAGCACCGCUGGGUAGCUACGUAUGGAUUAGAUAAUCGCUGAAAGCAUCUAAGUGAGAAACUAACCUCGAGAUGAGAUUUCCCAUUCGUCAGAAGUAAGACCCCUGAGAGACGAUCAGGUAGAUAGGCUAGAAGUGGAAGUGUAGUGAUGCAUGGAGCGGACUAGUACUAAUAGGUCGAGGACUUAACCAAG